UACGGGGGGGGGUAAGCGUUGUUCGGAAUUACUGGGCGUAAAGGGCUCGUAGGCGGCCAACUAAGUCAUACGUGAAAUCCCUCAGCUUAACUGGGGAACUGCGUGUGAUACUGGAUGGCUUGGAUUUGGGAGAGGGAUGCGGAAUUCCAGGUGUAGCGGUGAUAUGCGUAGAUAUCCGGAGGAACACCGGUGGCGAAGGCGGCGUUCUGGACUGCUACUGACACUGAGGAACGAAAGCCAGGGGAGCAAACGGG
RNAcentral lists this ribosomal RNA (254 nucleotides) under uncultured bacterium. RNAcentral describes it as "partial 16S ribosomal RNA". It matches the Rfam family "Bacterial small subunit ribosomal RNA", at positions 524 to 776 of the family's 1533-position model. The record is from RNAcentral.